CCUACGGGAGGCAGCAGUGAGGAAUAUUGGUCAAUGGGCGCGAGCCUGAACCAGCCAAGUCGCGUGAGGGAAGACGGUCCUCUGGAUUGUAAACCUCUUUUGUCGGGGAGAAAAAGACGCCGCGCGUGGCGUUCCGAGAGUACCCGAAGAAAAAGCAUCGGCUAACUCCGUGCCAGCAGCCGCGGUAAUACGGAGGAUGCGAGCGUUAUCCGGAUUUAUUGGGUUUAAGGGGUGCGCAGGCGGAAGAUCAAGUCAGCGUGAAACUUGAGAGGCUCAACCUCUUCGAGCCGUUGAAACUGGUUUUCUUGAGUGAGCGAGAAGUAUGCGGAAUGCGUGGUGUAGCGGUGAAAUGCAUAGAUAUCACGCAGAACUCCGAUGGCGAAGGCAGCAUACCGGCGCUCAACUGACGCUCAUGCACGAAAGUGUGGGUAGCGAACAGGAUUAGAUACCCGAGUAGUC
Molecule: ribosomal RNA, 459 nt
Filed under: uncultured bacterium
Lineage: Bacteria
Description: partial 16S ribosomal RNA
Rfam family: Bacterial small subunit ribosomal RNA
Source: RNAcentral